Molecule: small nuclear RNA, 125 nt
Organism: Nycticebus coucang (slow loris)
Lineage: Eukaryota; Metazoa; Chordata; Mammalia; Primates; Lorisidae
Source: RefSeq, a predicted model, not a curated record
GUGUUGUAUGAAAGGAGAGAAGGCCAGUACUUCCCUGACAAGGAUGGAAGAGGCCCUCAGGCCUGACAACACACGUACAAGUAAGGCAUUGCCACCUACUUUGUGGCAUGCAACCAUCAUUUUUA